This 289-nucleotide long non-coding RNA is filed under the name Physcomitrium patens. RNAcentral's name for it is "long non-coding RNA (PPAT_LNC006172)". The record is from RNAcentral. Lineage: Eukaryota; Viridiplantae; Streptophyta; Bryopsida; Funariales; Funariaceae.
CUCAAUCUAUCUAUCUAUCCCCACUUCCUUGACUGCUCAUUAAAACCAAUGUACUUUUGGGCUCACACUUCUUCCUUCUCAUUUUCUCUUCUCAUGGAACCCCACUGUACCACCCAUCCUCCUCAAUUCUAAAGGGGCAGUAGUCAUAACUAAACACUGAAGUUACUUAUUAUUUAUUGAUGAAGGAAGAAAGAAAGAGAGAGAGGGAGAGAGAGACAGAGCAUGGGGAGUGGGGUGGUGAAAGGACAGUAGGAAGGGGGCAAUAAUAAAGUAGUAGUAGUAGUAGUUU